RNAcentral lists this ribosomal RNA (557 nucleotides) under uncultured bacterium. Its description in RNAcentral is "partial 16S ribosomal RNA". It matches the Rfam family "Bacterial small subunit ribosomal RNA", at positions 355 to 902 of the family's 1533-position model. The record is from RNAcentral.
UGGGGAAUAUUGCACAAUGGGCGCAAGCCUGAUGCAGCCAUGCCGCGUGUGUGAAGAAGGCCUUCGGGUUGUAAAGCACUUUCAGCGAGGAGGAAGGUGGUGAGCUUAAUACGCUCAUCAAUUGACGUUACUCGCAGAAGAAGCACCGGCUAACUCCGUGCCAGCAGCCGCGGUAAUACGGAGGGUGCAAGCGUUAAUCGGAAUUACUGGGCGUAAAGCGCACGCAGGCGGUUUGUUAAGUCAGAUGUGAAAUCCCCGGGCUCAACCUGGGAACUGCAUUUGAAACUGGCAAGCUAGAGUCUCGUAGAGGGGGGUAGAAUUCCAGGUGUAGCGGUGAAAUGCGUAGAGAUCUGGAGGAAUACCGGUGGCGAAGGCGGCCCCCUGGACGAAGACUGACGCUCAGGUGCGAAAGCGUGGGGCAGCAAACAGGAUUAGAUACCCUGGUAGUCCACGCUGUAAACGAUGUCGAUUUUGGAGGUUGUGCCCUUGAGGCGUGGCUUCCGGAGCUAACGCGUUAAAUCGACCGCCUGGGGAGUACGGCCGCAAGGUUAAAACUU